Molecule: non-coding RNA, 121 nt
Filed under: Fragilariopsis kerguelensis
Lineage: Eukaryota; Bacillariophyta; Bacillariophyceae; Bacillariales; Bacillariaceae
Source: RNAcentral
AGAAAAAUCUGACACACACACACACUCAUUUCUCUUUUUGAUUUCCAUCCAUUUUUUUCCGUUCUUCGUAUCCAUCUCAUUCACAAUAUUUUUGGAAUCAUAAUAAAUACGAUACGAUACG